This 4316-nucleotide long non-coding RNA is filed under the name Dicentrarchus labrax (European seabass). Its description in RNAcentral is "lncRNA (ENSDLAG00005027960.1)". The record is from RNAcentral. Lineage: Eukaryota; Metazoa; Chordata; Actinopteri; Moronidae.
AGUUUUCAGAAUUAGUGAUAAAACUAUCUUAUAAUAUUCUUCACUUUCAGAGCUUUCAGGAUAUAUUAUGAUACUUUACAUCACAGUAAUAGCUAAUUUUGGGUUAAUAGUAAAAUAUGUUUUCUGUUGGGUUUCAUUUCAGAUACAAAAAUACAAAAACUAAGGUUUUCAGUUCAUUGCCUUAAUAAAAUGGUAUUGGAGAAUUAAAAAAAAUUGAGGUGAAAUGGCACUAUUAUAUAAGUUAGUCAAAGUGUAACACACACUUUUCUUCUCUACAGCAACAACCAACAACACAACAGACGCUGCUGCCUUGGCCAGGAAGAUAGAGAUGCUGGUUGUGAGUGUAAAGAGACGCUCCCAGCGACUUUAUAAAGACUAUGACUCCAACAAAGGUCGUGCAAGGAUCCGCCGGAAGAUCAGGCAGGAGAAAGGGAUCUCGACAGUGUCAUGGCGGAACAGAGACUUCAGGAAGAAAAAACGAUCCUUUUGUGAGAGAUGAACCACCACUGGAGUUCGUGGGGAUUCCUUAAAAGAGCUGUCUUCUCUGAUGACUAGGACAACAAUGCAAGAUUCACCGUGGGCUUGGACUGAAGACGGGAUGAAAGGUCUGCAGAGCAUCGCCAAACAGAAGCUGCAUCGUGUCAGAGAAAUGAUGGCUUUUGCGAGACACUGCUUACCUUCAAGUUUUGACUGGAGCACAGAACUUCCUUCAAAGCUUUUCAGAGGAAUAUUCUGACAGCGACUCUGACCUUGAGGAUCUGGAGUGAACUCUGCAGGGAACAGGACGUGAAUAUGAGAAGGCAGUUAUUCCUACGUUGUAGUGAGCUGCUCCUCCUAAAGGUUCCCCGAGCUCACUCCGACCCUUCUCAUAUAGUGCCCCUAACUCAUGGAAUGUUCUGCAGAGCAACUUAAAAAUGACUGCUCUUCCUACUUUUGGUUUAUUUAAAUCUAUGAUUUCUGAAUUUUACACGUCUGACUGAACUGUUUUAGCUGAAUUCAUUGUUCAACUUAUUUUUAUUCUUGCUUUUUUUUCAUAUUGUAUAUACUUUAUAGAUAUAUUUUAUCAUAUUUUUUAUCCUAUUUUAUUUCUGUGUUCUCGGUUCAUUAUAUGUUAUCCUUGUAAUUGUGUUUAUUGUGUAUGUUCGUCGUCACUGUAAAUGAGGGAAACCUCUGUGUCUUUCGAGUGAAAAUAAAGGUUAUUGAAUGUAAUGUAAGGCACAUCUUUUUCUUUUAAAAACACACUAUGGAAAAUGUACAUUUAAUUAAUAAAUUCCUCCUUACUUUGUAUAUGUAGUUAGUCAUUCAAUUGGUUGUUUAUGACAUUAAAGCAUUUAUUGUCAUUUUAUUUUGUUUUAGUUAACACUUCUACUAUGAAAGUCUUUGUAACAAUUUUGAAUGUCCAAUACUAAUAAAGUUCACUAUCAACAUUGUUGUUAUUAUCAUAAAAAAGCCUCAAAUAAUUCAUACUUUCCUUGGUUAAAAUAGAUACAUAUGUGAACUACAUUAAUACAAUAAUCAUUUUAUGCCACUGCAUGCUGUGUGUAGAUUAAUAUGACGACAUCUUCAAAUAUUACCUUUAAAAACCUUAGGCUACAGGCUGGCUGUUUUGACUGAUAGAGGCACACAGAGGUUCAUGGCACAUUGCACAAGCAUCAAAUAGUCCAGAUUUUGUUUGGUUGUAAUACAUACGUGUAGUAAUUGAAUAGUGAGAUCACGCUGCUCGACGCAGCCGACGCUAGACGCCCGUGGUCGCAACCAUACAUAGGAAGUGAAUGAAAGCCGGCCGCUACUGUCGCUCGUGACGCUUUUGCAACAAAUUGCAGUUGCACUGUGCUACACCGGUUCAUUUUGAAACGACAUGUAAUCAAACUACCCUCUGCACUUACACUUUAUAGAAACAAAAAAUAAAUCGGGGUCGAAAUCCAUAAAGUUCUGAUUUUAAAACGUUUCUCAAUCCGUCAUUGAACGCACCAGUUCUUUCGGACAAACAAAGCAGCUGGAAACACGUCUAAAAAAAGCACUUAUAUAUAUAUAUAGGCUACAUUUAUAUAUAAAUGUAACCUAUAUUUAUAUUUUUACAACAUCAAUCUCCCUAUAAUAUGAACAAAAUAUGUUCAGGUUAUACUUUCUGUCUUGAAAAACGGGCAAAACCCUAACCCGGAAAAUCAAACAAACUACAAACGUUCGGAAAAUGCAAUACACUUAAGUUUGUGGCGCCAUGUUUUUUGUAGUUCUAAAGUGUUUUCCCUAUUAUGUGAAAAUGUGUCAAGGAACUUCACAAGUGUAUUCUAUGUUUUAGGGACUGGGGAGCACAUUUAUUUGGUCAGAUUUCAUUUUUACUAUUGUUAAUUGGGUGAAAUCAUGUUUUGACCCUACCCAGUAGCGCCCCCUGUUGGUUUGACAACGGCUAUGAUAGAAGAAGUCAAGAGCUUUCCAAAAAUGUUUUCCCCAUGUUUGUAUCACAUUGUGUUGCUUUUCUGUAAGCCGUUAAAAGUGCCUUAGGUUCAAGGUUCAAAGGGCAUUCCUGAGGAGCAGGAACCAUCCAGAAUGUUCACAGGGGUAUAUCUGUACUCUGCAGAUCAAGACCUCUCCAACGAUGUCUUCACUGUCAUCCUAGGACAAAGUUUCAUUUUCAUCUUGCUCACUGACAAGGCACUUUGAUGUGUACUUUCUCACAGCCUAUAUAGAGCCAAGAUGGAUAAAAUCACUUAAACAUAUUUUAAGGGAUAUUUAGUGGCAAAAUGUGUUCAACAUACUGAUGGUGACCUUAUCCUUAGUCAUGUUAUCAAUUUGGAGCAGUUCAGACCCCAUUUACCUCUUAAACUACUUAAUGUUUCAUAUAAAUAUUUUCCGUAAUAAUUAAUAUGACCAUUUAUAGCCAUUGUGUCCCCUUCCCCAGGGCUGACAGGAUUGCCCUGAAUGAACCAAUCAUAUAUAUAUGCUAAUGCCAAUGUAUUUCUGUGUGCAGUUACAUUUUUACACACAGUUGUUUUUUAAUUGACCAAGAUAUGAGCUUUUGAAAGAAAGUAGGCCUGUGCCAUGUAGUAACAUGCUGUGCAUGGGGAAGGGAGACACAUAGGCCUACUUCACUGGACAAUGAAUGGUUUAUAUUUCACCAGUCCAUCACAAGAUAUGGAUCUGUCUCUUUACCUUUCUUUUCUAUUCGAGUAAUCCUGAUCAGAAAAACACAGUAUAUAUGGCGAAGAGUAGCUUUAGAGAGAAAGGCUUAUUGUGUGUGUUGUUGUGGAGGUCAAAUCUGUCUCAAUUACAUUUCAAUAUGUAGACCACUUUCUUAUAAGCUUAAAAUAAAUCUGAUGGCUACCAACUUUUGGUUGUAUAUCUUAUAUAUAGGGCCUAUCAGAGGUUUGGGCUAGUAAGGCUUCAGUUAAAAAAAGACAAAAUGAACAAUUUCACUGUAGGCACUCCAGACACUAACAUUAAUGUGAACAAGAACUGUAAUACACACACAAAAUAAAAAAGGAACAAACAAAUAAAAAUUAUACAACAAGAUACAUGUAAAUAAAAUAUAUACAUUUAUAACAUAAAGAUGAAAAUAAACUGAAAGAAGAAAGAGAAAACACAUAUUAACAGGAAAUAAAGCUUAAAGGAUGACCUUCAUUCUGACAUAAUAGUGUCAGUUUGUCAUGCUAUAAUACAUCUUAAAAGCAAUUAAAGUGUUUGUGUGCACUUAUGCCGGUGUCAAACUAGACAAUCUUUUCGUGUGUUCCAAUGGUCGCUGUGUCAAACGAUUAUAGAGCGAUGGAAUCGGGCCAUGGGGGCUGAGAGACUGAGAUCAGGAAAGAGUUGCUACUACACUAGUGUAAAUAGACGUUGGCGUUAUGCGGUAUGUAUGUUGUUGGCUUUCUUGUGCUCCAAAAAUAUAAAAACAACAAAUAAGGAAAGACUGUAACUGCUCAACACAAUCCUCCAGUUUGUCAAAAAUCAAUUGGACCCCCUGCAAUUAGCCUGCAGGGGAAAAAAGGGGACAGGCACAGAGGACACUGUCGCCUGCCUGCUGCAUCUUGUCCUCCAGCACCUAGACUCAUCAGGCAAUCUCGCCAGGAUCCUCUUUGUCGACUUCAACUCGGCUUUUAACACCAUCCAAAGGAAACUACCUCACCUCAACACUCCACCCAUCCUGAUCCAUCUCCUGCACAACUUCCUCUCAGACAGACGGCAAGGUGUUCAGGUUGGCACGUGCACUCAUCACCUGCACUGACGACACUGCCAUCCCUCACUCCCCUAUCGGACAAUAACUCUGUAUUACUACCACAACUUCCUGCAUCUCAAUGUAGCCAAAACAAAAGAAAUAACAU